Molecule: long non-coding RNA, 1567 nt
Organism: Chinchilla lanigera (long-tailed chinchilla)
Lineage: Eukaryota; Metazoa; Chordata; Mammalia; Rodentia; Chinchillidae
Source: Ensembl
AUGCGCGCACGCCUCUGCCUCGGGAAGCCCGGCGCCGUGCAGCAACCUCUACCCAACGCGCAGGUUCCGCGGGUGACUUGGGAGCUUCUUUGUCCGCAUGCGCGACACUGGCCGAUCCAGUCCUUACAGACUCCCGGCCCGUAUUUGACGCCGUGUCGCGUGGACAGUAACCUUUUUUACCUUGAGUAUGCAAACCCGAGGAGAAUGGAGAAAAAAGAGGAUGCCAGUCUCAUUGUUUUGUUUCAUGGCCCAGUGCCCGCGGAGUCCCUUCCCUCCGCUCACCGCGGCGCGGCGUCGGGCCGGCCCACGGAGACGCUAACGCGUGGAGAGCGGGCGUGAGGUCAAGCUGUCGCGGGCGGCGAGGAGCUCAGGUUCUCUGAGCGGCGAGUCCUACUGGAUUGUGAGAACAGAAGUUUAGGAAAUGGAAAUAGUAAAUGGGAACAAUUCUUGAAUGUAACUAUGAAAAGAAGAGCAAAAUGAUGUUCAGUAGGGUUGGAGAAUUGCCUUACAGUUCCUGCUAUUAUUAGUAAUUAUUUAUUUUGGGGUUGCUGGAGACUGAACUCAGAGCCUCAUCCGUGGUAGGCAGGGUCUCUCAGUGAGCUACGCUCCCAGCCCUGUUAUUAUUUUUUAAAAUAGGAAGAGACAACAUAUUUAAAUUCUAACGAUAUGCAGGGCAUAGUGGCACAGACCUGUAAUUCCAGCACUCAGGAGGCUGAGGCAGGAGUGCUUCGAGUUCAAGCCUGGCUUGGGAUAUAUAGUAAAUUCAGGGCUAUCCUAAACUACAUAGCGAGACCCUGUCACAAAACAAGACAAGACAAGACAAAACCAAACCUAAACCUUGUUUAAUAACAAACACCCAGCAGUCAAAGGACAACUGGACCAUUAGAAGUUGAACACGUUGGUUUUUUUUUUUUUUUUUUUCUGUUUAAAAAUUAGCUGGGUGGUUGCACAGGCCUGUAAUCCCAGCACCCUGGGAGGCUGACUCAGGAAGAUCACAAGUUCACAAGUUAGAACCCAGCUUGGGCAAUUAGUGACACAGGGAGACCCUGUCUCAAAGUAAAUAGAAAAAAAUGGGGGAGGGGGGCCGGGGAUGUAGCUGUGACGCAGCGCCUGCCUGGCAAGCAUGAGGUCCUGAGUUUGAUUCUUAGUAAUCAGCGCCCCCCACCCCCGCCCCGACCGAAAAAGAAUGGGGAUGUAGCUCAGUGGGAAGAUCCUGGGAAGAUCCCUGUAACUUUGUUUUCGUGGACCUAGGUCACUCUAAUCAUUUCCCUCAGCUCAAUGCAGCGUUUCGUCAGACCAGCUGAGUUUUAGCUGUGAGUUUGAGGCCAGCCUGGGCUACAAUCCCCGGUACUGCCAAUAAUAAAUAAGUAACAAAAGAAAUUGAAUUUAUUUUGAGAUAAAUGUAGAUUCAUAUUUAACCACUAAAAUGACAUGAAAGGCUCAGUGGUAGAAGGCUUGCUUGUGAGUCUCUGGGUUGAACUCCUAGCAUUACAGAGAAACAGACAUAUAUCUGAAACAGAGAUCCUACUAAAAUACUAUAAAAAUGGGUUUAAAAGUCGCACUGGGC